GCCUGUAGUCUAGUGGCUAAGAUCCAUGUCUGGUACUCCUGAGGUUUGUGGUUCAAGUCCCAGUCCAGCCA
Molecule: transfer RNA, 71 nt
Filed under: Albula glossodonta (roundjaw bonefish)
Lineage: Eukaryota; Metazoa; Chordata; Actinopteri; Albuliformes; Albulidae
Description: tRNA-OTHER
Source: RNAcentral